CUGCUUAGUUUCUCAAAUUCAUAUUACUGAUAAAGUGUUAAAACUUAGAUGAGAUGUUGGUGUUUUAUGGCUCACGAAUUCGCAAUAACGGAUACGUAUAGCAGUUCGUGUUAAUGACAUUAAUCCAAACUUAUUGAUGACGUGAUAACAUGGGCGUCGAAUCCAAUAUUAAUCAUGCUGAGGUUUUCUCGACGGGGUAAUGUGUAUAAAUGCAGUUAUAAAAUUAAAAGGGACAAGAUAGUCGACGUGACCCUCAUGUUUCCAUGGCAAUCAGUCAAUUACAUGUUACGCUUAUGAUCGCACCUGCGGUCAUUCGCGCAGUAUCCAUUAUUUUAAGCGGCAUGAAACACUUAAGUUAACUCCUUUGUACGAAAAUAUCAUGUCGUAGCCCUUCAAAUUAGAAAAGUGAGGAUGAUCUUGUCAAUGCUGAGAUUUUCAUGCAUCAGCAGCCACUACAUCUGGAUCAGAUUGAACAAGAAACAGACAGCAAGGGUUGUCAGAUCAGAAACAGAAUGACACACAAACACAAGAAACUUCACAGGCAGAUCAACAUGCAAUUUGAAGACGUGUGAUAAAAUACAGAGAGGUGAAGUAGUGUGUCUUUCCAGAUCCCCAAAUCAUUCCCCCUUAAAAGAUGAGCCUGAAGAGGAGAUUUGGGAAGAUGCUGUUUCAUAAGUCGCUUUGCCAGAUCACCUGUGGUCGGGAUGUCUGCUAACAAGAUGCCUUGCUGGUCUGAGCGAGUUUAAAGUCUUACACAGACAGUCCAGAAGUUCUGAAGUCCAUCUUUGAUUUCAUUGAUGCUGUCAUCGUAUUAAGUACAGCAUGAGCCAGAAUAGAUGGGUGGUGGUGGCCAUAAGAAGACUGUCAACUAAACCAACAACAAAAUUCAUAUUUGCAGUUUUUCUUGAAUAAAGUUUUUCUAUUCAGAUUAAUAAAAUGACUUUUAAACAUGA
Paramisgurnus dabryanus is the source of this 953-nucleotide long non-coding RNA. RefSeq lists it as uncharacterized. The record is from RefSeq and is a predicted model, not a curated record. NCBI's taxonomy places the organism in Eukaryota, Metazoa, Chordata, Actinopteri, Cypriniformes, Cobitidae.